Molecule: long non-coding RNA, 1343 nt
Organism: Gasterosteus aculeatus aculeatus (three-spined stickleback)
Lineage: Eukaryota; Metazoa; Chordata; Actinopteri; Perciformes; Gasterosteidae
Source: Ensembl
UUCCCAUGCAGUAUACGGUGGUAUUUAUGGGUGAUGUCACUGACAGCGCUUUCUUGAAUGUACAACAACACAACCAGUGGAUUAGAAAUUGCAAAGAAAUCUUCAAUAUAUAAUCUCCAAUGACAUAAUUAGAUACUUUAUAUUUUUAUUUGGUUGCUCCAGAAUACAUGAUAGUAACUUGAAGCUAAACAAAGAGGUCAUGUUUGUGGAUGUAGUGUGGUAUUUUAAUUUGUGACUCUAUAUUGUCCAGUUUCAACAAAAAUGAAAAUAAAUUAGGUUUUAGUAGAUUAUUCCAUCCAGGAUUAAUGGGUAAAUAUAGUCCGUUUCUAGCCAUCGACGAGUCAGUAACAGUUAACAGUUAAAAUGGCGUUAUGAAUGCCUUCAAUGACGUCACACUUAAUGGUUAUUCCCUAUGAUAAUGAAAUUAUUGUCAGUAGUUUAAAGAAGAUAAUGAGGGACAUUGUUCAUACUCAUACUCAUAAACAUGCAUACUUAUAUAUAAUUAAAUAAUAAGACGUGAUCGACACACAAUAAAUAUUCUCACAGGAUAUUAUUCCCAAUUACAUCAUAUCAUGUGACAUGUUAUACCUUUUGCUGUUUAAUAAUGUGAUGGAGGAUAGAAUAAAUCUCCCAUCAAACUAAUACAUACAAAUUGACCAUCGGUACAUUUUACGUGAAGGUGUUUCCCCAUUGGGCCCCUGGUGCUGUGAUGACGUCACUAUUUAGCGCAGGUUGACGAGCGGCACUGAUGACGCGUCCAAGAUGGCCGACAAGCACCGCAGCUGCUGCUCCGCAAAGACGAUGGAGGAGCCGAUGCGAGAAACGAGACUGACGGCGAACGCUGCUGACUGCUGAAUGUUUAGAGACACUUGAAGGUCCUGGAGGAGACGAGAACGGGAGCAAGGAGCAAACAUUUGGACCUUCAAGCGUCUCUGAUCAUUCAGCAGUCUGCACAAAAAACAGGAAACUUUUAGACACAAGCUUCAAGAGGCUCGGAUUCCUAUUUCAAAAGAGACUUACAUCAGCUUUCAUGGAAGACCGAUCAAAACCUUGUACUACCCAACGCACAGCUUCAGGAACAGUCGGGCAGCGGAAGUUACAGCUCAGGUGCUUGUCGGCCAUCUUGGACGCGUCAUCAGUGACGCCCGUCAACCUGAGCUAAAUAGUGACGUCAUUACAGCGCCAUGGCCCAUCUCGGAAGUAUCUUUAUGUGUAGUGUAACCAUAUCACUUCCACCUGGUCAAUGGAUAUUUAAUAGUUUGAUGGAAGAUUUAUUCAAUCCUCCAUCACAUUAUUAAAGAGCAUCAAUUAUAACAUGUCACAUGAUAUGAUUUUAUUGGGAA